Molecule: ribosomal RNA, 500 nt
Filed under: uncultured bacterium
Lineage: Bacteria
Description: partial 16S ribosomal RNA
Rfam family: Bacterial small subunit ribosomal RNA
Source: RNAcentral
AUUGAACGCUGGCGGCAGGCCUAACACAUGCAAGUCGAGCGGAUGAAGGUAGCUUGCUACCUGAUUCAGCGGCGGACGGGUGAGUAAUGCCUAGGAAUCUGCCUGGUAGUGGGGGACGACGUUUCGAAAGGAACGCUAAUACCGCAUACGUCCUACGGGAGAAAGUGGGGGAUCUUCGGACCUCACGCUAUCAGAUGAGCCUAGGUACGAUUAGCUAGUUGGUGAGGUAGAGGCUCACCAAGGCGACGAUCGUUAACUGGUCUGAGAGGAUGAUCAGUCACACUGGAACUGAGACACGGUCCAGACUCCUACGGGAGGCAGCAGUGGGGAAUAUUGGACAAUGGGCGAAAGCCUGAUCCAGCCAUACCGCGUGUGUGAAGAAGGUCUUCGGAUUGUAAAGCACUUUAAGUUGGGAGGAAGGGCAGUAAGUUAAUACCUUGCUGUUUUGACGUUACCGACAGAAUAAGCACCGGCUAACUUCGUGCCAGCCGCCGCAGUAA